RNAcentral lists this transfer RNA (71 nucleotides) under Myotis brandtii (Brandt's bat). It matches the Rfam family "tRNA". From Rfam's summary of the family: Transfer RNA (tRNA) molecules are approximately 80 nucleotides in length. The record is from Rfam by way of RNAcentral. Lineage: Eukaryota; Metazoa; Chordata; Mammalia; Chiroptera; Vespertilionidae.
ACCAGGAUGGCUCAGUGGUAGAGCAUUGACCUAUGAACCAGGAGGUCAUGGUUCAAUUCCUGGUCAGGGUA